UUGCUUCAGCAACAAAUAUAAAAUUGGAAAGACACAGAGAAGAUUAGCAUGGCCCCUGUGCAAGGAUGUCACACAAAUUCAUGAAGCAUUCCAUAUUUUU
This 100-nucleotide small nuclear RNA is filed under the name Notamacropus eugenii (tammar wallaby). The record is from RNAcentral. Lineage: Eukaryota; Metazoa; Chordata; Mammalia; Diprotodontia; Macropodidae.